CCAARGGCCGGGCGGCCGGUGGCGGGGGGGUGUGAGGUUGCGCGUUGCAGCUCUGCUUCAGCGCUGCUCGCGGGCCCGGCCUGGGAGGGCUGGCGAGGGCGGCCGCGGCCGUUGCUGUUGCUGUUGCUGUUGCGUGGGGCGAGCGGUGGAGCGGGCUGCUGGGCCCCGUGCGGGGAGCAGAGGCGGCCGCCAGUAGGGGCUGCGGAAGCGCGUGUUUGGUACUUGGGCUUUAGCGAAGGCUCCUACAACCUGUUGCCGGUUGAAAACGUUUCAAGUAUGCAUGUAAAAAAAUCCCGUUAACUUGGUAUAGGGUGUUUUGGGAAGUCAGCGUGGCCUUCUUGAGCUUACAUUUAAAACCCUCGUGAUGGGCUGGUGCAGUUCUGCCCCUUUACUGGAAAAAGAAAGAACAUACAGUGCGUCCAGCUCUGUGGUGAAAAGCAGCGUUUCUGCGCCUUGUUGGCUUCUGCUUGCGUUGGGUUUGCGCCUCGGGGAGCCUACGGGUCGUAAUGGCUGCUUGGACCUGGGCCCUUGGCAAAGGGCUUGCUGCAGAGACGCGCGAGGUGACGUCCCUGGGGUCACGUUGGGAGCAUUUAUCUUGGGUCGUGUGAUUUCCUCUUAAACUUAGAAAUGGGUUUCAAGGUGUCCACAGAAGCCCUCAUCGACCGCUCCCGGGACAGUUAGUGAAGCCAGGCCUGAAGCACCUGGAGCUGGAUGGUUUUAUAAAGGAUGAGAACUCCUGGUCUGCAGAGCUGCUGUGGGAUUUUAGAUGCAAAAAACACGGUGCGGAGCAGUUUGUGAUGUGACUGGUGCAGGGUAUGUGCUCAUUUCAGUUCUGCCUUCUAACAACUGAGAUGAAAAUGAUGCAGAGGACAGCGGUGUGCAGACAGCUGGCCCUGAUGUCACCUCCAUUCAACAGUUCAUCUUCUGAACCUGUUCCCAUUGUCCCAGGGAAGUCACUUACAUUGUGGCCAUCCUACUUAUGUCUUGGGCAAAACUGGCUUUCCACUUUUACCUCUGAGGAACCUCUGCUGCUGUAUCCACACAGAGAGAAGAUAUGUACUGCAUGGCCGGGCACUGAAAAUUAUUAGCCRUUACUGUUGCCUCCCUAUUGCUUGCAAGGAGUGGCCUGAAACGGAGGGGUCCACUCUGACACUGAACAGUUUUGACUAUUCUGACAGACUCUGCGAGUGUUUCAUCACUGACUGCAAUGAGAGAAGGACUUAAGUGCUUUAUGUCCGUUUUCUUUGCAGAUGUAAAAAACAAUCAAUGUCCGAUACGCGGUGGGAUUGUAAUGAAGAAUAUGUACGUGCUAAGUAAUUAUUUAUGAAUGUAUGUAUAUUUCUGCCAAUAUGCAUUUAUUGGAUGCACUAAUAAUACCAGUAAUAAUGCAAGUGCUGUUUGUCAUCCAUGCAACAACUCUAUUGUGAGCUCAUGAAACUUUGCAGUUAUUCAAGAUAGCUUUUUUAUUUUUUUGCUAAAGAAAAAAAUCAGUAUUCCUCAAUAUAAAGACAUUUUGAUAUUGAUACCUAAUUUUUCUAGCUGGUAAAGUACGCUUAAUGAUUUGAUGUUUUUAAUGGAAAGUAUUCAAAUAAAUAGUUUCCAGUGCUAAUGUUAAUUGAAAAU
This is a long non-coding RNA of Dromaius novaehollandiae (emu), 1623 nucleotides long. The record is from Ensembl. NCBI's taxonomy places the organism in Eukaryota, Metazoa, Chordata, Aves, Casuariiformes, Dromaiidae.